UUUCAAGUUACUAAGGGCGCAUGGUGGAUGCCUUGGCACGAGAAGGCGAUGAAGGACGUGGCAAGCUGCGAAAAGCGUCGGGGAGCCGCAAGCAGGCAUAGAUGCGGGGAUGUGCGAAUGGGGAAAGCCGGAGGAGUGAAGGUCCGUCAUCCUGGAGUGAAUGCAUAGCUUCAGGAAGCGAACGCGGGGAAGUGAACCA
RNAcentral lists this ribosomal RNA (199 nucleotides) under Candidatus Omnitrophota bacterium. RNAcentral's name for it is "partial 23S ribosomal RNA". It matches the Rfam family "Bacterial large subunit ribosomal RNA", at positions 1 to 200 of the family's 2925-position model. The record is from RNAcentral. Lineage: Bacteria; Pseudomonadati; Candidatus Omnitrophota.